Molecule: ribosomal RNA, 253 nt
Filed under: uncultured bacterium
Lineage: Bacteria
Description: partial 16S ribosomal RNA
Rfam family: Bacterial small subunit ribosomal RNA
Source: RNAcentral
UACGGAGGGUGCAAGCGUUAUCCGGAUUCACUGGGUUUAAAGGGUGCGUAGGCGGGCAGGUAAGUCAGUGGUGAAAUCUUCGAGCUUAACUCGGAAACUGCCGUUGAUACUAUCUGUCUUGAAUACCGUGGAGAUGAGCGGAAUAUGUCAUGUAGCGGUGAAAUGCUUAGAUAUGACAUAGAACACCAGUUGCGAAGGCAGCUCGUUACACGAAUAUUGACGCUGAGGCACGAAAGCGUGGGGAUCAAACAGG